GAACGCUGGCGGCGUGCUUAACACAUGCAAGUCACGGGGGCCCGCAAGGGUAACCGGCGAACGGGUGCGUAACACGUGAACAAUCUGCCUAGAUGUGGGGGAUAGCCGGCCCAACGGCCGGGUAAUACCGCAUACGCUCACCGGGUGGCAUCACCUGGUGAGGAAACCUCCGGGGCAUCUAGAGGAGUUCGCGGCCUAUCAGCUAGUUGGUGGGGUAACGGCCUACCAAGGCGAUGACGGGUAGCUGGUCUGAGAGGAUGGCCAGCCACAUUGGGACUGAGAUACGGCCCAGACUCCUACGGGAGGCAGCAGUGGGGAAUAUUGCGCAAUGGCCGAAAGGCUGACGCAGCGACGCCGCGUGGGGGAUGAAGCAUUUCGGUGUGUAAACCCCUGUUGCCCGGGACGAACAACUGGAUUCUUCCAGUCUGACGGUACCGGGUGAGGAAGCACCGGCUAACUCCGUGCCAGCAGCCGCGGUAAUACGGAGGGUGCGAGCGUUGUCCGGAAUCACUGGGCGUAAAGGGCGCGUAGGCGGUCUGCUAAGCGUGCGGUGAAAGCCCGGGGCUCAACCCCGGGUCUGCCGUGCGAACUGGUGGACUAGAGCACUGUAGAGGCGAGUGGAAUUCCGGGUGUAGCGGUGGAAUGCGUAGAGAUCCGGAAGAACACCGGUGGCGAAGGCGGCUCGCUGGGCAGUAGCUGACGCUGAGGCGCGAUAGCGUGGGGAGCAAACAGGAUUAGAUACCCUGGUAGUCCACGCCGUAAACGAU
Molecule: ribosomal RNA, 767 nt
Filed under: uncultured Gemmatimonas sp.
Lineage: Bacteria; Pseudomonadati; Gemmatimonadota; Gemmatimonadia; Gemmatimonadales; Gemmatimonadaceae
Description: bacterial SSU rRNA
Rfam family: Bacterial small subunit ribosomal RNA
Source: RNAcentral